RNAcentral lists this ribosomal RNA (313 nucleotides) under uncultured bacterium. Its description in RNAcentral is "bacterial SSU rRNA". It matches the Rfam family "Bacterial small subunit ribosomal RNA", at positions 28 to 332 of the family's 1533-position model. The record is from RNAcentral.
GAUGAACGCUGGCGGCGUGCCUAAUACAUGCAAGUCGAACGCACAGCGAAAGGUGCUUGCACCUUUCAAGUGAGUGGCGAACGGGUGAGUAACACGUGGAUAACCUACCUCAAGGUUGGGGAUAACAUUUGGAAACAGAUGCUAAUACCGAAUAAAACUUAGUAUCGCAUGAUACCAGGUUAAAAGGCGCUACGGCGUCACCUAGAGAUGGAUCCGCGGUGCAUUAGUUAGUUGGUGGGUAAAGGCUUACAAGACAAUGAUGCAUAGCCGAGUUGAGAGACUGAUCGGCCACAUUGGGACUGAGACACGGCCC